This 467-nucleotide ribosomal RNA is filed under the name uncultured bacterium. RNAcentral's name for it is "partial 16S ribosomal RNA". It matches the Rfam family "Bacterial small subunit ribosomal RNA", at positions 28 to 506 of the family's 1533-position model. The record is from RNAcentral.
GACGAACGCUGGCGGCGUGCUUAACACAUGCAAGUCGAACGGAAAGGCCCUGCUUUUGUGGGGUGCUCGAGUGGCGAACGGGUGAGUAACACGUGAGUAACCUGCCCUUGACUUUGGGAUAACUUCAGGAAACUGGGGCUAAUACCGGAUAGGAGCUCCUGCUGCAUGGUGGGGGUUGGAAAGUUUCGGCGGUUGGGGAUGGACUCGCGGCUUAUCAGCUUGUUGGUGGGGUAGUGGCUUACCAAGGCUUUGACGGGUAGCCGGCCUGAGAGGGUGACCGGCCACAUUGGGACUGAGAUACGGCCCGGACUCCUACGGGAGGCAGGAGUGGGGAAUAUUGCACAAUGGGCGGAAGCCGGAUGCAGCAACGCCGCGUGCGGGAUGACGGCCUUCGGGUUGUAAACCGCUUUCGCCUGUGACGAAGCGUGAGUGACGGUAAUGGGUAAAGAAGCACCGGCUAACUACGU